This 629-nucleotide ribosomal RNA is filed under the name uncultured Gammaproteobacteria bacterium. Its description in RNAcentral is "bacterial SSU rRNA". It matches the Rfam family "Bacterial small subunit ribosomal RNA", at positions 197 to 804 of the family's 1533-position model. Lineage: Bacteria; Pseudomonadati; Pseudomonadota; Gammaproteobacteria. The record is from RNAcentral.
AGGGAGAAAGUGGGGGGAUCUUCGGACCUCACGCUUUCAGAUGGAGCCAAGGUCGGAUUAACUAAUUGGGGGGGGUAAGAGCCUACCAAGGAGACGAUCCGUAACUGGUCUGAGAGGAUGAUCAGUCACACUGGAAUUGAGACACGUUCCAGACUCCUACGGGAGGCAGCAGUGGGGAAUAUUGGACAAUGGGGGAAAGCCUGAUCCAGCCAUACCGCGUGUGUGAAGAAGGUCUUCGGAUUGUAAAGCACUUUAAGUUGGGAGGAAGGGCAGUAAGUUAAUACCUUGCUGUUUUGACGUUACCAACAGAAUAAGCACCGGCUAACUUCGUGCCAGCAGCCGCGGUAAUACGAAGGGUGCAAGCGUUAAUCGGAAUUACUGGGCGUAAAGCGCGCGUAGGUGGUUCAGCAAGUUGGACGUGAAAUCCCCGGGCUCAACCUGGGAACUGCAUCCAAAACUACUGAGCUAGAGUACGGUAGAGGGUGGUGGAAUUUCCUGUGUAGCGGUGAAAUGCGUAGAUAUAGGAAGGAACACCAGUGGCGAAGGCGACCACCUGGACUGAUACUGACACUGAGGUGCGAAAGCGUGGGGAGCAAACAGGAUUAGAUACCCUGGUAGUCCACGCCGUA